RNAcentral lists this ribosomal RNA (428 nucleotides) under uncultured bacterium. RNAcentral's name for it is "bacterial SSU rRNA". It matches the Rfam family "Bacterial small subunit ribosomal RNA", at positions 355 to 775 of the family's 1533-position model. The record is from RNAcentral.
UGGGGAAUUUUGGACAAUGGGCGCAAGCCUGAUCCAGCCAUGCCGCGUGAGUGAAGAAGGCCUUCGGGUUGUAAAGCUCUUUCGGCCGGGAAGAAAUCGCACAGGCUAAUACCUUGUGUGGAUGACGGUACCGGAAUAAGAAGCACCAGCUAACUACGUGCCAGCAGCCGCGGUAAUACGUAGGGUGCGAGCGUUAAUCGGAAUUACUGGACGUAAAGCGUGCGCAGGCGGUUGUGUAAGACAGGCGUGAAAUCCCCGGGCUCAACCUGGGAACUGCGCUUGUGACUGCACGGCUAGAGUACGGCAGAGGGGGGUGGAAUUCCACGUGUAGCAGUGAAAUGCGUAGAGAUGUGGAGGAACACCGAUGGCGAAGGCAGCCCCCUGGGCCGAUACUGACGCUCAUGCACGAAAGCGUGGGUAGCAAACAG